Molecule: ribosomal RNA, 465 nt
Filed under: uncultured bacterium
Lineage: Bacteria
Description: partial 16S ribosomal RNA
Rfam family: Bacterial small subunit ribosomal RNA
Source: RNAcentral
CCUACGGGAGGCUGCAGUAGGGAAUCUUCCACAAUGGGCGCAAGCCUGAUGGAGCAACACCGCGUGAGUGAAGAAGGGUUUCGGCUCGUAAAGCUCUGUUGUCAGAGAAGAAAGUGCGUGAGUGUAACUGUUCACGCCGCGACGGUAUCCAACCCGAAAGUCACGGCUAACUACGUGCCAGCAGCCGCGGUAAUACGUAGGUGGCAAGCAUUAUCCGGAUUUAUUGGGGGUAAAGCGAGCGCAGGCGGUUGCUUAGGUCUGAUGUGAAUGCCUUCGGCUUAACCGAAGAAGUGCAUCGGAAACCGGGCGACUUGAGUGCAGAAGAGGACAGUGGAACUCCAUGUGUAGCGGUGGAAUGCGUAGAUAUAUGGAGGAACACCAGUGGCGAAGGCGGCUGUCUGGUCUGCAACUGACGCUGAGGCUCGAAAGCAUGGGGAGCGAACAGGAUUAGAUACCCUAGUAGUC